AUACAUAUAUUUUUUUCCAUAAAAAUUUUUUCUUGUCCAAAGAUAUUUAUAAAAAAUAACAAGUUUUUACCUUUUGUAUAAGUGUUUUUCAAUAAAAUUUUAAAAUUUAUUUUCCCGAAAACAACUGAUAAAAUAUUAUUGUUUUUUUACGUAGCAUAGUAAUUUAAAUAAGUAAAUAUUAGAAAUGAAAAAUUUCCCAAUGUUGUUGAUAUCUGGAUUUUUUUAAAAAGUAUUUAGUACUUAUCUCAUAUAAAAGGUGUUACGAUCUUUUAUUAAUUGAAAAAUUUUUGUUAAAAUAUUUUAUUAAAUAAAAUUAGUAUUAAUAUUUAAAUUUACUAUUAUUAUAUUUUAUUUCUUUUUAAUAAAAAAACAUAAUAUAUAACUUUAUUUUUUAUUGUUUAUGAAAAAAUUAGUGUUUUUACAAAAAAAUUUUUAGGAACUCGGCAAUAAUAAAUUUCAAUAGUUUAUCAAAAACAUAGUUUUAUGAUAUUUAUAUAAAAUAACUUCUGCCCAGUGUCUAAAAGAUAAAUGGCCGCAGUACCUUGACUGUGCUAAGGUAGCAUAAUCAAUUGGCUUUUAAUUGAAGUCUAGAAUGAAUGGGAAAAUGGAAUUUAGCUGUCUUAAUUUUUUUAAUUAAAAUUUAUUUAUAAGGUGAAAAUACCUUAAAAUUAAAUAAAGACGAGAAGACCCUAUGAAUUUUUAAAUGUAUUUUUGUUGGGGCGACAGUUUAAAAAAUAAUCUUAAAUUUAUAAUAUAUAACGAAUUUUUUAAUAAAAAUUAAAUUACCUUAGGGAUAACAGCAUUAUUAUUAAAAUAGUUUGUGACCUCGAUGUUGGACUAGGAACUAAAAGGCUAACCGUCUUUAUAGAUUUGUUCUGUUCGAACAAUUUAAUCCUACAUGAUCUGAGUUCAGACCGGCGUAAGCCAGGUCAGUUUCUAUCUUAUUUUAUAUUAAUUGUAGUACGAAAGGACCUAAUUAAAUUUUUC
This 987-nucleotide ribosomal RNA is filed under the name Gyraulus laevis. Its description in RNAcentral is "16S ribosomal RNA". The record is from RNAcentral. Lineage: Eukaryota; Metazoa; Mollusca; Gastropoda; Planorbidae.